GCAUCUUUUGCGCGGACGGCGCGUUGCUGGUGCCGAAGUUCGAGUGCGACAGCAGCGCGAUCUUCGGUUCGAUGCCGAAACGGCGCAC
This 88-nucleotide transfer RNA is filed under the name Paraburkholderia aspalathi. RNAcentral's name for it is "tRNA-Thr". Lineage: Bacteria; Pseudomonadati; Pseudomonadota; Betaproteobacteria; Burkholderiales; Burkholderiaceae. The record is from RNAcentral.